RNAcentral lists this ribosomal RNA (382 nucleotides) under uncultured eukaryote. Its description in RNAcentral is "SSU rRNA". It matches the Rfam family "Eukaryotic small subunit ribosomal RNA", at positions 587 to 969 of the family's 1831-position model. The record is from RNAcentral.
AGCUCCAAUAGCGUAUAUUAAAGUUGUUGCGGUUAAAAAGCUCGUAGUUGGAUCUCGGCGAGUAGGGGGCGGUUCAUUAUCUGAUGUUACUGCCCCAUUUACUCGUGUUUUUGACAGCCGGUUGGUGGUCCCCUUAAAUGGGUGUCGCCAGUCACUGUCAGGUUUACUUUGAAAAAAUUAGAGUGCUCAAAGCAGGCUUAUAACGCUUGAAUAUUCGUGCAUGGAAUAAUAGAAUAGGAAGUCGUUUCUAUUUUGUUGGUUUUCGGAAAAUGACUUAAUGAUUAAUAGGGACAAUCGGGGGCAUUAGUAUUCAAACGACAGAGGUGAAAUUCUUGGACCGUUUGAAGACUAACUACUGCGAAAGCAUUUGCCAAGAGUGUUU